GAAAUGCGAUAAGUAAUGUGAAUUGCAGAAUUCAGUGAAUCAUCGAAUCUUUGAACGCACAUUGCGCCCGGCAGCAAUCUGCCGGGUAUGCCUGUCCGAGCGUCAUUUCUGCCCUCGAGCGCGGUUCGGCCCCUAGCGGGCCGGCCGCCGCCCGGUGUUGGGGCGCUGCGGGCCCUCGUGCCCGCAGGCCCUGAAAUGAAGUGGCGGUCCCGCCGCGGCGCCCCCUGCGUAGUAGUAAAGCACCUCGCAUCGGGUCCCGGCGGAGGCCAGCCGUCGAACCUCUCUUUUGAUGGUUUGACCUCGGAUCAGGUAGGGUUACCCGCUGAACUUAAGC
RNAcentral lists this unclassified non-coding RNA (334 nucleotides) under plant metagenome. Its description in RNAcentral is "partial contains 5.8S ribosomal RNA, internal transcribed spacer 2, and large subunit ribosomal RNA". The stretch from base 1 to 105 matches the Rfam family "5.8S ribosomal RNA", at positions 50 to 154 of the family's 154-position model. The record is from RNAcentral.